RNAcentral lists this ribosomal RNA (250 nucleotides) under uncultured bacterium. RNAcentral describes it as "partial 16S ribosomal RNA". It matches the Rfam family "Archaeal small subunit ribosomal RNA", at positions 339 to 588 of the family's 1478-position model. The record is from RNAcentral.
UCGGGAAACUUUUGCAAUGCGCGAAAGCGUGACAGAGCAAGCCAGAGUGAUUUUCCGUAUUGGAAAAUCUUUUGUGGGAUGCAAAAAGUCCCACGAAUAAGGACCGGGCAAGACUGGUGCCAGCCGCCGCGGUAAUCCCAGCGGUCCAAGUCGCAUCCACUUUUAUUGGGUCUAAAACAUCCGUAGCUUGUUAAGUAAGUCUCUUGUGAAAUCUGGCAUCUCAAGUGUCAGACUUGCAGGAGAUACUGCU